This is a long non-coding RNA of Quercus lobata, 1207 nucleotides long. RefSeq lists it as uncharacterized. The transcript is spliced from 4 exons. NCBI's taxonomy places the organism in Eukaryota, Viridiplantae, Streptophyta, Magnoliopsida, Fagales, Fagaceae. The record is from RefSeq and is a predicted model, not a curated record.
GGUGCCAAUGCCUAGUCAGCUGAGUUAUAAAAUUAGACAUGCAGUUGUAAUUUAGAAGGCGUUGCUAAGAACAAUAUAUAAAGUAUUGUGACUAGGUUUACCCCUUAUGUUUUUCUACUAACUAUAUAAAAAGCGUGAAUGCCUCUACAGUGAAUUUUUGGUUUCGUCAAUCAUUGUCCAAAACUCGCUAUUUCAUCUCUAUGAACAGUGAUUUUUGUUUAAUUAAGUUUUUGUUCAUUUGUGGAGGGCUAAAUGAUGCGUUUGGCCAAAUAAAACAAUAACAAUUAAAGGGAGAGAGACAAUAACAAAGGGAGAGAGGCGAAAGGUCUGGAACUCUCUCCCGACUCUCCGUAUCUCUUCUCUCUCUCUUUUCUCUCUAUCAUUUCAGCAAAAGGUCUCUCUUUUCUCCAUACCAGAUCGGCUUAGGCACAAGUCAAAUUUAUAUCCUAAAAAAAGAAAACAAAAACCAUGGGAAGAAAGACCGACUAAUUUUUCCAGUCUUUUAGGUUAAUGAUAUUGAUCUUAAGUGGGUAUUUUGGGUGUCAUUGGCUUCUUAAGUAGGCUUAUGAUAAAGAAAGGAGAUUUGGUUCCAUUUUGGGUAUUUUCAGCUUACACAAGAAACAGAGAUGGGAAUGGGUGAGAGCGACAAAUAGACAGAGGUGAAAGACGAGAGACCUCAUCAGUGAGAGCAGAGCUGAAAGAACUUUGAGUUUUUCUCACCGAUCCACACUCUAUUUGCUGAAAGAGCAGAGAGGGCUUUGCCUACUCGGAUGGAGAGGGCUUUUCAACUAUUAUACGAAUCAAAGGUCUGGUUUGUGACUUUGGUUUUUCUCUCAACUCAUACCACAGUUGCUGGGUAUGGAGUUGUGUGUGCGUGGGUUUCUCCUUUCUAAGGUAAGAAGAUAUUGAAAGAGGGAGAGAGAAACAGAUCAUAAAGAAAGGGGAUUUGGUUCCAUUUUUGGUAUUUUAGAUUAACACACUAUAGAUAAGUGCUUUCUCUCUCUCUCUCAUAUUUCCACUUUGAAGUUUCACUAAUCAUAAUUUGGUUCCAUUUUUGCCUAAUCCCAUGUCAUUUUCUCUAUUUUUAAAAACAGGAAAAAUUGGACUAAUGAUACAAACCUAUACACCAGAGACAACCAAUUUUGCCAAAAAGAAAAGCUACCUACUCCAUUCGAUUCCACCAAGCUGAGCUAUUUGAUUUGUAGGG